CAAAGUGGCAGAUCAGAGGAGGGGUCAAAAUCCCUAGCGGCAGCUAAUCCCCAUUGCGCCUGGCACAUCUCUCUUCUCCCCCAUCCUCCUUCUCCACCUCCGGACGCCGCCAGGGCUAGGCCGCCGUGGUGGUGCGCCUCCCAUCCACCUGCACCACUCCACUCCGCCGCCUCAGCCAUCCAUCCACCGUGCGCCUCCCAGCCACCAGCACCUCCCACCACAUCACCCAUCUCCAUCCACCAGCGCCACUCACCAGCAUCACAACGCUUCCCCGCACCUCGCACCCCUGUGCUGCUGCUCUUCUUCUCCAACUGCCACUGCUCCUCCCCUUGUCCCUUCUGCUGAUGCUCUUCCCUGCUGUCCUUCUUCCCUUGCCUUGCUCCUUCUCCAUCUCUUGCUGCUACUUCUUCUUCUCUGAACCUCAUUUCUUCUCCUUGCAUCCCCUUGUUGCAGCGCCUCUUUCUUUGCUGCUGCUUCUCUUCUCACGCCCCCUGCUACUUUUCUUCUCCAAGCACCGCUGCUUCUUCUCCAUCACGAAACUGUUGCCCCUCUCUUGCUGCGCCCCUGCUGCUUCUUCUCACGCUGCUGCUGCUCUCUAUCCCCAUGUCCCUGCUGCUGUUCUUCUCUGAAACCUCAAAACUGCUGCUUCUUCUCCCUCUCUCUAUUCUCUAAUUUUCUGUAAUCUUGAGUAGUGUAAUGUUCAGUACUUUGAAAUGUUCAGAAUUGAGAUGUGUAGCACUUGUAAGGUUCAGAUUUUGAAAAGUGUUUGCAAUAAACUAGUUUGUUCAGUUCGUACUUGUUAAAUAUCAUGUCAUAAAUUCUAUGUUCUGAAUAGUGGAUUUCUUGUUGCUUUGGGAACUAACUCAUAUGUAAUAUUUUGUUACUUUGGUAAUUAGUGUUCUGUCAGCAUAUAUGUGUGUUCACCCUGUGUAUUUCUUCUCGCUGUCUAGUUAAAUUCUAUCAGUAUUAGUUGUUAAAUACUGUUGUGUUGAUCUGUGGGUACUAAUCUUGUGGCUUGUAAGAUUUCAUUUCUGUUGUCACUUGUGUAACCUGAACCGUGGUGUCGUAUCCUGUUCGCAUAUGUGUGGUUUUGUGUGGUCUGUAGUCCCUGUAUCAGCUAUGUACCUAUGAUAUAUGAAUGUGCGUGUGUGUGUUUGAUUUGAAACAAUUAUAUUCUGUCAUAUACUGUCGCUUCUUCCUACUGUUAUAUGUUUGAUACUAAUGUGUCCUCGUCUUGUAGCUUUACUUGAUAUUGACUCCUGUUUGUGUUAGUAUUUUAAUUCCUCAAAUAAAACAAAAUACCAAAAAGAUAGUGAGUAAUAUCUUAACCUCCCUUUGCUAUUUUGCAUUUUCUUGGUGGCCUAUCUUUGGGUACAAUCAUUGUUAGUUUAGAUUCUUAUUUUCUGCAUUUAUCUCUUAAAAUUGUGCUACCUAGCUUUAGCCAAGCAUAGUCGUCGUCGCCUAGUCCCUGUGGAGAACACGACAUCCGUAGUUUGGGGCGUAAAAACCCCGCUAUACUUUCAAAUGAUCAUUUUGGCGCCGUUGCCGGGGACUAGCGUCGAGCGAUUGUGCUAGGCUAUAGACUAGGUUUUUCUUGUUUUCAUCUUGUGCCAUAUAUUUGUGAUAUAUCUCUAGCCACUAACCCCUGUUCUAGUUAUUAUCUUUUUGUCUUCUUUUCCUUUUUGCAGGUUGGAUUAUCCUCUCGCAAAUGGCAUUCUAUUCAGAUCAUCAUGCUUAUGCGAGCAACACUACAAACAACACGGAAAGUAUACAAGAACUGAUAAGUAAGAUUUCCCAUCGAUUAGAUGAUUUAGCUCGACAGCGAGAGGUAGUUUUUGAGGAUAGGCCUAGCUCUUAUGAUCCUUAUUCUAGAGGUCAUCCUUAUGUUGCUCCUACAUGCCAUAUUUGUGGUUACUCUCACCCUCCCGAUUGUUAUGGCACGAGCUUCGCCCCACAGCCUAGCUCAUACCAAAAAAAUUACACACAUGGGUGGCCUGAAAACCAGAAUAUGUCAUAUAGGAGCAAUAACCCUGAGAUCUCAUCAUUUUCCUCUAGUUAUCCGAUGCAGGGAUUUAGGUAUGAAGAGGAGAGCCACAACUAAGCUCCACAACAGAUUUAUUCAGCUCCUACUCAUAUACCUCAACACCAGGACAUGUUGCCAAUGGAGUUAAAUGGUCCUCCAUUUGGUCAACCAACAUCUUCAACACAAGUGCCCACACAAGAUGACUUUGAUGAUAUAUACAAGCUCACAUUGCUUGGUCUAGAGUUCACUUGGAGUGCCGAAGAUGAUCCAAUUAGGCCGGUGAUACUAGAGGAAAUGAAGAAGAUUAAGAGUGGAAAGGAUCUAGUGGAAGAAGUAAAGAAGAUUGAGAAGAACAUCAACACUGGUAGUACUAUUUCUUCAUAGCUUGAGCUGAGUAAUUCUGGGAUUCUCCUUGAUACAUGUGAGGUUCCAAUACCGUCACAUCCAGCUGAGCAAGAUAGCAAGUGCCUUGAGCAUGAGAUACCUCAGAUUGAAGAAGAUGAACUAGAAGACAAGGAACAAGAUGAUGAAGAGCUGCAAUUCCCAAGUGAUCAAGUUGAAGACUCGUCAUCUACUACUCCUGAAGAAGUACAAGAAGCUGCUGUAGAUGAAGAUGAAGAACCUGAGAUUCAUUGGCCUAUUGUCAUACAUGAGCGUGAUGUGUCAGGUUUACCCAAUCCUCUUGAUGACAUGCUCCCUUGUGAUUUCUUUGCUUCUAACUUGCAUUGCAUGAUGCCAUUACUUAAGGUAGAUUUGAAAAACUAUUUGCUUGGAUAUGAUCAUAUAUACCCUGUUAGUGGCAUUACUCUCAUUUGUGAUGAUCACAAUUACUUUCCUCGUGCUAGUUCUAUGCUUAAUGAAACAUAUCAUUCCCAUGUUAGUCUUGAGCUUAAUGAUAAAUAUCAUCCUCAUGUUAGCAUUGAGCUUACUGAUUUGUACCAUCCUAAACAUGUGCUUUAUAGCUAUGCUUAUGUAAUUGGGUACUCUAUAGAUGAUUUAGAGGGCAUUACCCUUGUCACUUGUAUUGUUUCCUUGGUUGAGUGCUCUUUCAGGUUGUUGCUUGUGCACGAUCCACUACAUGCUGACCAAGUUCGAGAUGACAUUCCCUGGGACCCAGGUGGACCCAUGGCAUGGGGAUGAGGAGAAGCAAGGAGCACACAUGAAGAGAGAAGCUGGAGCAGGCAUGAGGAUAGAGAAGCAAAAGGAGAGGAGUUGCAGUUGGUGAGGUGAUCGAGCGAGUGCUACAUCAUCAAAGCCCGGUGAGCUAUUUCAUGACCCAUUCCGAGUAUAUCAUCCAUUGAUACAAGCUGAAAUCAUUUGAUAUUUGGGUUGCUUGAGUCAUUUCUUAAAUACUGUCCCGCUGAAUUUUAUUUGACAUAUGGUGCUUGAUGAGAAUAUGCGAACUGAUUGUUGAAUGCCAUGUAAACUAGUGAUAUACAUGUUGCUUGCUUUGCUGAAAUUAGUUUUGAGUGCUCAAAUCCCUAGUACACUAGAAAACUUAAUCAUUUUCUGCUUUUACCUCGAUACACCUAGAUCACAACAUUUAGAUGCUGAAUUUGUGCCAAGUGUCUUCCCAUUGAGAGCAAUCACCUAACCACUAUGGAUUAGCAUGCUAUGUUCCCUGGAUCGGUAGCAUGUGAACCAGACAUGGAGAAGUGAUGAUUCCUGUUUUUGUUCUUAUGCAUUGUUCAUUUAAGAUAAGUAAUAAUGAAUAAAUAAGUCUGACUACCUACAGUAGCAUGUCAUGUUCCCGGGAUCGGUGGCAUGUGAAAUCGGGUUAGCUUGGGCAGUAAUUAAUAAUAAUAAAAAUGUAAUUGUCGAACCAGGUGUAUACCAUGUUCUCGGGAUCGGUGGUAUGUUCCUUUGGGGAGACAAACACACUAAAAAAACUAAUAAUUGGUCGAGCCAGGUGUAUACCAUGUUCUCGGGAUCGGUGGUAUGUUCCUUUGGUGAGACUGAUAAAAUAUUAUCAUUACUUCCUUCAAAUUUAAUAAGUGGUUCAACCACAAAAUCAUAUUUCUGCAAAUAAGAGAUUUAAUUCCAGUUCUUUUUGUUCUCGGGAUCAUGCUCUCUUUAGGAACCAUUUGGCACAGUCAUCAUUUAAACUUGUUGAUCCUCUUUUAUCACUGUAAAAGUUUAAAAUGGUCAUGCUUACUAGUAUCCUACCGCUUUGAAGCACUCCUAACCAUUAAUUUUCACUAGCUAAGUCCAAAGCAUGCACUGUUUAGAGAUCUACUUCACUUGGUAUUCUCUAGUCAGCUCACUGUUCACAUUCUUGCUCUUGUCAUAUGCCUUUGCUUGAGGACAAGCAAAAGUUUAAGUGUGGGGGAACUUGAUAAGCACAUUUAAUAUAUGCAAUUUUGGCAUAGAAAUAUAUUAUUUAUUGAGAUAUGACCAUCAAUUCUUGCUGUGAAAUAUUGAAUAUUUGCAUGAAAAUCAUAUAAAGUAUCAUUUACUAGUCAUUGUGUUUCUUUUGCAGAAAAGUGCGCAAAGGCACUAUAAACUUCAAGAUCUGGACUAGUGGCUAAGAGAACCAGUCAAGUGAAAAGGAAGAAGAAAGACAGAGGGACUUGUGUGUGAAGAAAUGAUGCUCCAUGGGACAAGUUAAAGAAGAAAGGGACCUUCUUAUGAAGAAAGAAGAAAAGGAGAAGGGCCAAAAAUGCAAAGUGGCAGAUCAGAGGAGGGGUCAAAAUCCCUAGCGGCAGCUAAUCCCCAUUGCGCCUGGCACAUCUCUCUUCUCCCCCAUCCUCCUUCUCCACCUCCGGCCGCCGCCACGGCCAGGCCGCCGUGGUGGUGCGCCUCCCAUCCACCUGCACCACUCCACUCCGCCACCUCAGCCAUCCAUCCACCGUGCGCCUCCCAGCCACCAGCACCUCCCACCACAUCACCCAUCUCCAUCCACCAGCACCACUCACCAGCAUCACAGCGCUUCCCCGCACCUCGCGCCCCUGUGAUGCUGCUCUUCUUCUCCAACUGCCGCUGCUCCUCCCCUUGUCCCUUCUGCUGAUGCUCUUCCCUGCUGUCCUUCUUCCCUUGCCUUGCUCCUUCUCCAUCUCUUGCUGCUACUUCUUCUUCUCUGAACCUCAUUUCUUCUCCUUGCAUCCCCUUGUUGCUGCGCCUCUUUCUUUGCUACUGCUUCUCUUCUCACGCCCCCUGCUACUUUUCUUCUCCAAGCCCCGCUGCUUCUUCUCCAUCACGAAACUGCUGCCCCUCUCUUGCUGCGCCCCUGCCGCUUCUUCUCACGCUGCUGCUGCUCUCUAUCCCCACGUCCCUGCUGCUGCUCUUCUCUGAAACCUCAAAACUGCUGCUUCUUCUCCCUCUCUCUAUUCUCUAAUUUUCGGUAAUCUUGAGUAGUGUAAUGUUCAGUACUUUGAAAUGUUCAGAAUUGAGAUGUGUAGCUCUUGUAAGGUUCAGAUUUUGAUAAGUGUUUGCAAUAAACUAGUUUGUUCAGUUCGUACUUGUUAAAUAUCAUGUCAUAAAUUCUAUGUUUUUAAUAGUGGAUUUCUUGUUGCUUUGGGAACUAACUCAUAUGUAAUAUUUUGUUACUUUGGUAAUUAGUGCUCUGUCAGCAUAUAUGUGUGUUCACCCUGUG
RNAcentral lists this long non-coding RNA (5615 nucleotides) under Triticum aestivum (bread wheat). Its description in RNAcentral is "long non-coding RNA (TAES_LNC012412)". Lineage: Eukaryota; Viridiplantae; Streptophyta; Magnoliopsida; Poales; Poaceae. The record is from RNAcentral.